AACAAGGAAACGCUCCCAUUUUCGAGCAAAAAUCAAAGUUCAAAAUAUACAAAUCGUUGUUCGAAACCUCCAUCAAAACAACAUCAAACUCUCCGUGAAGAAUCUGAAGAGAAAACAAAGCAACAACACUCAACAUAAAAUGGCAGCAAGAAACCAAACGAAAGACCUUAAGUGUGCCACACAUCUCCUGAGCGAUAAGUUCAGAAACAUGACUGAGGAGAAGAAGGCAAUUGUCAGGGAUCUCGGAUUUGGUGGGUUGAUGCACGUCCCACCUCUAAGGGUGGAUCACCAACUCUUAAGGGAACUGGCAAACAACUUCAAACUUGGGGAGAACAGACUGAAGACAGGAUAUAUGGUUCUUUCCAAAUAACACCAAAGACAAUAGGUGAUGCGCUUGGCAUCAAUGCAACAGGAAAUCUGUUUCCUGAGAAAGUUGAGUAUAAGCAACUUUCUGAUGAUGACAAAAUAAUUUAUAGAAGAUUCCAGGGUAAGACCCUCAAAAGUCUUACCGAUGAAAUGAUGGAAAUAGGCGUUGGCAGCGAAGAGGAACGCCUGAUGUUCAAGAGGAUAUUCAUCCUCUACAUACAGAUGGCGUUCCUUUUGCCAACGACAAUAAACAAAAUAUCGCCCGUGCACCUCGCCCCAAUUUUUA
Arachis ipaensis is the source of this 652-nucleotide non-coding RNA. NCBI's taxonomy places the organism in Eukaryota, Viridiplantae, Streptophyta, Magnoliopsida, Fabales, Fabaceae. The record is from RefSeq and is a predicted model, not a curated record.